GCCCGGGUAGCUCAGUCGGCAGAGCAGCUCCCUCGUAAUGAGCAGGUCAGGGGUUCGAGUCCCCUCCCGGGCU
This 73-nucleotide transfer RNA is filed under the name Acidimicrobium ferrooxidans DSM 10331. Its description in RNAcentral is "tRNA-Thr (CGT) (tRNA-Thr-CGT-1-1)". It matches the Rfam family "tRNA". Rfam says of the family: Transfer RNA (tRNA) molecules are approximately 80 nucleotides in length. The record is from Rfam by way of RNAcentral. RNAcentral also lists the same sequence under 1 other name. Lineage: Bacteria; Bacillati; Actinomycetota; Acidimicrobiia; Acidimicrobiales; Acidimicrobiaceae.